This 1813-nucleotide long non-coding RNA is filed under the name Sus scrofa (pig). RNAcentral describes it as "lncRNA (ENSSSCG00030040410.1)". The record is from RNAcentral. Lineage: Eukaryota; Metazoa; Chordata; Mammalia; Artiodactyla; Suidae.
AUGUCAGAGGAAGUCCAAGGAAGAAUCUCUCCAAAAUGUUACCUUUCUCUCUUAAAAGAAAGCCACAGAAAGAAACACAUCCUCUUUCUAGAUGUGCUGCUUGGAGAUGCUGUACCCAGGUGCUACCAGCUAGAAGAGAAAGUCAUUGCUGAGGGUGGCAGAACAGAGCCUUUUGGUCCCAUGUCAUCCAGGACGCCAUAUUUUCAAAUUUUGGAUGACUGUUUUGUGCUGAGCUCCAAAGGAUGCAGAGGUAAGGAAGCCAGAGCUUUUGCUUUUAAGACAUUCACAGCCUUAAAAAUCUCAAAAUGCUUCCAUUUAAACAUGAGUGGCGCCAGGCCAAUUCUUAACUCUCAGCUGAAAGAAUCACAGGAGGAGGAAAACCAGUGAAAAGCUGGAUUGUCUUCAGACUGUGUUGAUGAAUGAUUCCAUGAAAUAUUAAGUUAGGAAAUGGUCUGUAAUUUAUGCUACAUUAAAAAGAAAUGACAUGUUUCUUUAAAUAGCCAGUCUUUCUAACGCAUUUAAAAUGUCAUUUGAUUUAAAAAGUUAGAUGUUCUGUAGGUUUGGGGGGAAAUGCAUACUUCGUUUUCAAAGCCCUUUAAUCCUCUGGACCCAAUGGCUGUGUUUAAGGAAGCACAGUCCUGACAAGGCUGCCUAAUAGGCUGCCUGGUCACUGCUUGCCUUGCCUUUUCAGCAGGUGUUUUCCUUGGCAUAAGGCCUCCCUUGUGGAAAAUGCCUCAUUCUGCCUGUCCUUAUAUAACCCUUUCCCUCAAAGAAAACCCUGUCCCCACCCCUUCAUACUUUGGCUCUUAAAGCCCAGGGUAUAUUUGAAUCUUUCACUUCCUCUAUAAGGUUCAGAGCCAGAGUCACAGCUGCCAUAAAGCGCUCCUCCCUCAGUCCAAACUAUGGCGAUUCCCUCAUCCUGAAUGUAGCCACCUUUCAUUUAAAACAGCAGAGCAUAAUGGCUAAGGCUUCAGGCUCUCGACUCAGCCUUCUAGAUUCAGGCAAGUUCUUUCAUCUGUCUCAGCUUUAGUUUUUUCACCUGAAAAUGGGGAUUAAAAACAAACAAACAAAAAAACCAACAAAAAAAAAAAAACCCUCAAAGGGUAACACUUAUAAAAGGGCUUGGAACAACCCAAAUAUCCACUAACAAACAAAUGGACAAACAAAAUGUCAGACAAGUAUAUAAUGGAAUAUUUAUUAUUCAGCCUUACAAAGAAACGCAAUUCUGAUGCAUGCUACGGAACAGAUCAAUUCUUGAGCCAUUGCACUAAGUGAAAUAAGCCAGGCACAAAAGGAUAAAUAGUGUAUAAUUCCACUCAUCUGAGGUCCCCAGAAUAGGAGACUACUAGAGACAGAAAGUACAACAGGAGUUACCAGGGGCCAGAGGAAGGAAAGAAUGAGAAAUUACUGUUUAUCGGAUACACUCUGUAGGAUUUGGGAUGAGGAGGAAGUUCUGGAGAUGAAAAGUGGUGCUGGUUGCACAGCAGUGUGAAUGCAUGUCCUGCCACUGAACUGUACACUUAAAACUGGUUACAUGGGGAGCUCCCAUUGCGGCGCAGCGGAACAAAUCUGACCAGUAUCCUUGAGGUUGCAGCUUCGAUCCCUGGCGUCGCUCAGUGGUUGGGGAUCCAGCAUGGCCGUGAGCUGUGGUGUAGGUUGCAGAUGCAGCUCAGAUCCCGCAUUGCUGUAGAUGUGGCAUAGGCUGGCUUCGACCCCUAGCCUGGGAACUUCCAUAUGUGGUGAACGAGGUCCUAAAAAGCAAAAGUAAAACACAAUCAAUAAAAUAGUUAACUUAUGGAGUUCCCUGGUGGCU